GACGAACGCUGGCGGCGUGCUUAACACAUGCAAGUCGAACGGAAAGGGACUGCUUUGGUCGGCUGCACGAGUGGCGAACGGGUGAGUAACACGUGAGUAACCUGCCCCAGACUUUGGGAUAAGUUCUGGAAACUGGGGCUAAUACCGGAUAGGAGCUACAGCUGCAUGGUGGGGGUCGGAAAGUUUUGGCGGUUGGGGAUGGACUCGCGGCUUAUCAGCUUGUUGGUGGGGUAGUGGCUUACCAAGGCAUUGACGGGUAGCCGGCCUGAGAGGGUGACCGGCCACAUUGGGACUGAGAUACGGCCCAGACUCCUACGGGAGGCAGCAGUGGGGAAUAUUGCACAAUGGGCGGAAGCCUGAUGCAGCAACGCCGCGUGCGGGAUGACGGCCUUCGGGUUGUAAACCGCUUUCGCCUGUGACGAAGCGAGAGUGACGGUAAUGGGAGAAGAAGCACCGGCUAACUACGUG
RNAcentral lists this ribosomal RNA (468 nucleotides) under uncultured bacterium. RNAcentral's name for it is "partial 16S ribosomal RNA". It matches the Rfam family "Bacterial small subunit ribosomal RNA", at positions 28 to 507 of the family's 1533-position model. The record is from RNAcentral.